AAAACUACUCUCGGCAACGGAUAUCUCGGCUCUCGCAUCGAUGAAGAACGUAGCGAAAUGCGAUACUUGGUGUGAAUUGCAGAAUCCCGUGAACCAUCGAGUCUUUGAACGCAAGUUGCGCCCGAAGCCAUCCGGCCGAGGGCACGUCUGCCUGGGCGU
This 159-nucleotide ribosomal RNA is filed under the name Zelkova sicula. Its description in RNAcentral is "5.8S ribosomal RNA". It matches the Rfam family "5.8S ribosomal RNA". Rfam says of the family: 5.8S ribosomal RNA (5.8S rRNA) is a component of the large subunit of the eukaryotic ribosome. Lineage: Eukaryota; Viridiplantae; Streptophyta; Magnoliopsida; Rosales; Ulmaceae. The record is from RNAcentral.